Molecule: ribosomal RNA, 728 nt
Filed under: uncultured bacterium
Lineage: Bacteria
Description: bacterial SSU rRNA
Rfam family: Bacterial small subunit ribosomal RNA
Source: RNAcentral
UUGUCGCGUUGUUCGUGAAAUCUCACGGCUUAACUGUGAGCGUGCGGGCGAUACGGGCAGACUUGAGUACUGCAGGGGAGACUGGAAUUCCUGGUGUAGCGGUGGAAUGCGCAGAUAUCAGGAGGAACACCGGUGGCGAAGGCGGGUCUCUGGGCAGUAACUGACGCUGAGGAGCGAAAGCGUGGGGAGCGAACAGGAUUAGAUACCCUGGUAGUCCACGCCGUAAACGGUGGGUACUAGGUGUGGGUUUCCUUCCUUGGGAUCCGUGCCGUAGCUAACGCAUUAAGUACCCCGCCUGGGGAGUACGGCCGCAAGGCUAAAACUCAAAGAAAUUGACGGGGGCCCGCACAAGCGGCGGAGCAUGUGGAUUAAUUCGAUGCAACGCGAAGAACCUUACCUGGGUUUGACAUGCACAGGACGCCGGCAGAGAUGUCGGUUCCCUUGUGGCCUGUGUGCAGGUGGUGCAUGGCUGUCGUCAGCUCGUGUCGUGAGAUGUUGGGUUAAGUCCCGCAACGAGCGCAACCCUUGUCUCAUGUUGCCAGCGGGUAAUGCCGGGGACUCGUGAGAGACUGCCGGGGUCAACUCGGAGGAAGGUGGGGAUGACGUCAAGUCAUCAUGCCCCUUAUGUCCAGGGCUUCACACAUGCUACAAUGGCCGGUACAAAGGGCUGCGAUGCCGCGAGGUUAAGCGAAUCCUUUUAAAGCCGGUCUCAGUUCGGAUCGGGGUCU